Molecule: long non-coding RNA, 287 nt
Organism: Erpetoichthys calabaricus (reedfish)
Lineage: Eukaryota; Metazoa; Chordata; Cladistia; Polypteriformes; Polypteridae
Exons: 3
Source: RefSeq, a predicted model, not a curated record
GGUGGAGAGAAGAGAGAGAAGAGAGAGAAGAGAGAGAAGAGAGGUAGGCUAAGGGGUGGAGAGAAGAGAGAGAAGAGAGAGAAGAGAGAGAAGAGAGAGGUGACUGGAGGUGACUAGAAGAGAGAGAAGAGAGAGAAGAGAGAGAAGAGAGAGAAGAGAGAGAAGAGAGAGGUGACUGGAGGUGACUAGAAGAGAGAGAAGAGAGAGAAGAGAGAGAGAGAGAGGAGAGGAGGCUGUCAGAAGGGGUGGAGAAGAGAGAGAAGAGAGAGAAGAGAGAGAAGAGAGAG